RNAcentral lists this ribosomal RNA (431 nucleotides) under uncultured bacterium. Its description in RNAcentral is "bacterial SSU rRNA". It matches the Rfam family "Bacterial small subunit ribosomal RNA", at positions 29 to 506 of the family's 1533-position model. The record is from RNAcentral.
GCGAACGCUGGCGGCAGGCUUAACACAUGCAAGUCGAGCGGGCAUUUCGGUGUCAGCGGCAGACGGGUGAGUAACACGUGGGAACGUGCCCUUCGGUUCGGAAUAACUCAGGGAAACUUGAGCUAAUACCGGAUACGCCCUUUUGGGGAAAGGCUUGCUGCCGAAGGAUCGGCCCGCGUCUGAUUAGCUAGUUGGUGGGGUAAUGGCCCACCAAGGCGACGAUCAGUAGCUGGUCUGAGAGGAUGAUCAGCCACACUGGGACUGAGACACGGCCCAGACUCCUACGGGAGGCAGCAGUGGGGAAUAUUGGACAAUGGGCGCAAGCCUGAUCCAGCCAUGCCGCGUGUGUGAUGAAGGCCUUAGGGUUGUAAAGCACUUUCGCACGCGACGAUAAUGACGGUAGCGUGAGAAGAAGCCCCGGCUAACUUCGU